RNAcentral lists this long non-coding RNA (562 nucleotides) under Anser cygnoides (Swan goose). RNAcentral describes it as "lncRNA (ENSACDG00005004177.1)". The record is from RNAcentral. Lineage: Eukaryota; Metazoa; Chordata; Aves; Anseriformes; Anatidae.
AUGAAUCCAAAGCAAUUUAAUCUGAUAUUAGCCAAAACUCUUAUUAACAAACCAAGAACAGCUGUUGGUUUGCCAGACUGGGGUGUGGCUUGUUUGUGUCCUGUUAAGAUGGCCACGAUGCCUCACCAGAAACACAAAUCCCUGUUACUGGUGGUAGACCUAGCUGUAAAACACUCUUCUGGCAGGAAACUAAUGUAUCCUAAUGAUGAUUUCCAGGAGAUUAAGGUGCUUGUACUGAUGACCAUUUUGGAGGUUGCAUCUCUCAACCUCUUUCACACAGAUGCACGUGGUUAUAUUGUUGUUUGCUCCACAUACCCUAUAGCUUCUUUUCUGUCUGCUGUUAGACUGGAGGAGAGCAGGAUCUGCUAUCUUCUCUGGAGAGCCAGAGGAGCAGAACCCAUUUUGGCCAUGCACUGUCUGGAGGAUGCACAAUGCAGCUAGAGCAGUUACCAAGUCUGCAAAUAUUGGACAAAUUCCAGCCUGCAGGUGCAUGAGGAUUGAUUUUUGACUGGAUACUUAGAGGGGAAAUAAAUGACACUUUUGUAACCCUACUGCUAUCUUU